UAGCCGUAAACGAAUACUCGCUAGGUGUCGGCCACGGUGCGACCGUUGUCGGUGCCGUAGGGAAGCCGUGAAGCGAGCCACCUGGGAAGUACGGCCGCAAGGCUGAAACUUAAAGGAAUUGGCGGGGGAGCACAACAACGGGUGGAGCUUGCGGUUUAAUUGGAUUCAACGCCGGAAAUCUUACCGGGACCGACAGCAACAUGAAGGCCAAGCUGAAGACUUUGCCGGAUUAGCUGAGAGGAGGUGCAUGGCGUAGUCG
This 259-nucleotide ribosomal RNA is filed under the name uncultured archaeon. RNAcentral describes it as "partial 16S ribosomal RNA". It matches the Rfam family "Archaeal small subunit ribosomal RNA", at positions 748 to 1006 of the family's 1478-position model. The record is from RNAcentral.